RNAcentral lists this ribosomal RNA (694 nucleotides) under Phlegmacium tirolianum. RNAcentral's name for it is "eukaryotic LSU rRNA". The stretch from base 294 to 447 matches the Rfam family "5.8S ribosomal RNA". Lineage: Eukaryota; Fungi; Basidiomycota; Agaricomycetes; Agaricales; Cortinariaceae. The record is from RNAcentral.
GGAAGUAAAAGUCGUAACAAGGUUUCCGUAGGUGAACCUGCGGAAGGAUCAUUAUUGAAAUAAACCUGAUGAGUUGCUGCUGGUUCUCUAGGGAGCAUGUGCACGCUUGUCAUCUUUAUAUCUCCACCUGUGCACCUUUUGUAGACCUGGAUAUAUCUCUCUGAAUGCUCGCCACUCAGGUUUGAGGAUUGACUUUAUGUCUCUCCUUGCAUUUCCAGGCCUAUGUUUCUUUAUAUACCCCAAUGUAUGUCAUAGAAUGUAAUCAAUGGGCCUUUGUGCCUAUAAACCUAUACAACUUUCAGCAACGGAUCUCUUGGCUCUCGCAUCGAUGAAGAACGCAGCGAAAUGCGAUAAGUAAUGUGAAUUGCAGAAUUCAGUGAAUCAUCGAAUCUUUGAACGCACCUUGCGCUCCUUGGUAUUCCGAGGAGCAUGCCUGUUUGAGUGUCAUUAAUAUAUCAACCUCUUCAGAUUUUAUUUGUUGAGUGUUGGAUUUGGGGGUCUUUUUUGCUGGUCUUCUAAAGAUCAGCUCCCCUGAAAUGCAUUAGCAGAACGAUUUGUGGACCGUUCAUUGGUGUGAUAACUAUCUACGCUAUUGACGUGAAACAGUUCAGCUUCUAACAGUCCAUUGACUUGGACAAAUUUUCAUUAAUGUGACCUCAAAUCAGGUAGGACUACCCGCUGAACUUAAGCAUAU